Molecule: ribosomal RNA, 468 nt
Filed under: uncultured bacterium
Lineage: Bacteria
Description: partial 16S ribosomal RNA
Rfam family: Bacterial small subunit ribosomal RNA
Source: RNAcentral
GACGAACGCUGGCGGCGUGCUUAACACAUGCAAGUCGAACGGAAAGGCCCUGCUUUUGUGGGGUGCUCGAGUGGCGAACGGGUGAGUAACACGUGAGUAACCUGCCCUUGACUUUGGGAUAACUUCAGGAAACUGGGGCUAAUACCGGAUAGGAGCUCCUGCUGCAUGGUGGGGGUUGGAAAGUUUCGGCGGUUGGGGAUGGACUCGCGGCUUAUCAGCUUGUUGGUGGGGUAGUGGCUUACCAAGGCUUUGACGGGUAGCCGGCCUGAGAGGGUGACCGGCCACAUUGGGACUGAGAUAGGGACCAGACUGCUACGGGAGGCAGCAGUGGGGAAUAUUGCACAGUGAGCGGAAGCCUGAUGCAGCAACGCCGCGUGCGGGAUGACGGCCUUCGGGUUGUAAACCGCUUUCGCCUGUGACGAAGCGUGAGUGACGGUAAUGGGUAAAGAAGCACCGGCUAACUACGUG